Homo sapiens (human) is the source of this 315-nucleotide long non-coding RNA. RefSeq lists it as uncharacterized. The record is from RefSeq and is a predicted model, not a curated record. NCBI's taxonomy places the organism in Eukaryota, Metazoa, Chordata, Mammalia, Primates, Hominidae. The transcript is spliced from 4 exons.
CUGGAAAGCAGGAAUAGGGAAAGGGGUGGGAAAAACCUCCUGAGGAAUCAGAGGCUGAGUCUGAGCCAGAUGCAACUUCUAUUUUGAUUGAGAGAUGAAAAGUCAUCAUUUUAAUUCAGGUCAAAUAAGCAUUCCUGAAAGAAGCCAAGAGGAAGGCACAUUUUCAACAUGACAUAAAAAAAGGGCUGAUAUAACAAAGAAAUUAAAGAAUAUCAAAGCCAACACAGUAAAAAGCAAUGGCAUCCUCAACAAGAAAGGGAAUGUGAAACUGAAUACAGGUACCAGGAAUCAGAAGAGUGCCAGGAAGAGAAUGAU